UCCGGUUUUUCACCGGCAGUCCCUCUAGAGUGCUCACCAUAACGUGUUAGCAACUACGAGUAAGGGUUGCGCUCGUUGCGGGACUUAACCCAACACCUCACGGCACGAGCUGACGACAGCCAUGCAGCACCUCUACUGGUGUCUCUUGCGAGAAGACGAUAUUUCUACCGUUGGUCACCAGCGGUUCAAGCCCAGGUAAGGUUCUUCGCGUUGCGUCGAAUUGAACCACAUGUUCCACCGCUUGUGCGGGCCCCCGUCAAUUCCUUUGAGUUUCAGUCUUGCGACCGUACUCCCCAGGCGCAGGACUUAACGCGUUAGCUCCGGGACGACCCGCCUACGCGAGCCACCCCAAGUCCUGAUGGUUUAGGGCUAGGACUAC
This 379-nucleotide unclassified non-coding RNA is filed under the name uncultured Terriglobia bacterium. RNAcentral describes it as "uncultured Acidobacteriia bacterium contains 16S-23S intergenic spacer region". The record is from RNAcentral. Lineage: Bacteria; Pseudomonadati; Acidobacteriota; Terriglobia.